This 315-nucleotide ribosomal RNA is filed under the name uncultured Mycobacterium sp. Its description in RNAcentral is "bacterial SSU rRNA". It matches the Rfam family "Bacterial small subunit ribosomal RNA", at positions 557 to 869 of the family's 1533-position model. Lineage: Bacteria; Bacillati; Actinomycetota; Actinomycetes; Mycobacteriales; Mycobacteriaceae. The record is from RNAcentral.
GGCGUAAAGAGCUCGUAGGUGGUUUGUCGCGUUGUUCGUGAAAUCUCACGGCUUAACUGUGAGCGUGCGGGCGAUACGGGCAGACUAGAGUACUGCAGGGGAGACUGGAAUUCCUGGUGUAGCGGCGGAAUGCGCAGAUAUCAGGAGGAACACCGGUGGCGAAGGCGGGUCUCUGGGCAGUAACUGACGCUGAGGAGCGAAAGCGUGGGGAGCGAACAGGAUUAGAUACCCUGGUAGUCCACGCCGUAAACGGUGGGUACUAGGUGUGGGUUUCCUUCCUUGGGAUCCGUGCCGUAGCUAACGCAUUAAGUACCC